This 253-nucleotide ribosomal RNA is filed under the name uncultured bacterium. Its description in RNAcentral is "partial 16S ribosomal RNA". It matches the Rfam family "Bacterial small subunit ribosomal RNA", at positions 524 to 776 of the family's 1533-position model. RNAcentral also lists the same sequence under 1 other name. The record is from RNAcentral.
UACGAAGGGGGCUAGCGUUGUUCGGAAUUACUGGGCGUAAAGCGUGCGCAGGCGGUUUCUCAAGUCAGGGGUGAAAGCCCGGAGCUCAACUCCGGAAUUGCCCUUGAAACUGUGAAGCUAGAGUGCGGGAGAGGUGAGUGGAAUUCCCAGUGUAGAGGUGAAAUUCGUAGAUAUUGGGAAGAACACCGGUGGCGAAGGCGGCUCACUGGCCCGUUUCUGACGCUCAUGCACGACAGCGUGGGGAUCAAACAGG